This 499-nucleotide ribosomal RNA is filed under the name uncultured bacterium. RNAcentral describes it as "bacterial SSU rRNA". It matches the Rfam family "Bacterial small subunit ribosomal RNA", at positions 26 to 518 of the family's 1533-position model. The record is from RNAcentral.
GCUAGGAUGAACGCUAGCGGCAGGCCUAAUACAUGCAAGUCGUACGGGAUCUCCCCUUCGGGGGAGUGAGAGUGGCGCACGGGUGCGUAACGCGUAUGCAACCAACCCUCAUCCGGGGGACAGCCGGUGGAAACGCCGGGUAAUACCCCAUAUCCACUUUGGGAGGCAUCUUCUGAGGUGGAAAGACUUAGGUCGGAGGAGGACGGGCAUGCGUCCCAUUAGCUAGUCGGCGGGGUGACGGCCCACCGAGGCGACGAUGGGUAGGGGAUCUGAGAGGACGGUCCCCCACACUGGUACUGAGACACGGACCAGACUCCUACGGGAGGCAGCAGUAAGGAAUAUUGGGCAAUGGGGGGAACCCUGACCCAGCCAUGCCGCGUGAGGGAAGUAGGCCCUACGGGUCGUGAACCUCUUUUGUCCAGGGACAAGGACGGCGUCGGGAACGUCGUUUGAGGGUACUGGAAGAAUAAGCAUCGGCUAACUCCGUGCCAGCAGCGGC